This 1442-nucleotide long non-coding RNA is filed under the name Mus caroli (Ryukyu mouse). RNAcentral describes it as "lncRNA (MGP_CAROLIEiJ_G0005168.1)". The record is from RNAcentral. Lineage: Eukaryota; Metazoa; Chordata; Mammalia; Rodentia; Muridae.
CAGGAGCGGAACGGCCCGAGUCCUCCCGCCAGCAUUUAUACUGCGCUAUUUUAGUCGCGCGCUCUGAUUGGCCAGCCAUGGUGACGACACGCCUGGACGCCGAAAGGUGGAGGAGAGAUUGGGCGGAUGUGGGCUUCCGGCUGCCGGAAAGUGAGCUUGGCUGGAGCAACCCUGGCAUAGGUCUCGGCACCAGCUCAUUCACUCCAGAAACCACUCGGAAGACUUAGACAGGAGGCUUGCUUGCUUGAGUUCUUGAGUUGGAGGUUGGCGUAGAUAAAACAGUAAAAUUCAAUCUCAAAAACAAAUAAGUUAAAUAAACAGAAAGAGAAGAGAAGGAAGAAGGAAAGGAGAAAACAGAAAGAAAGAAGGGAAAGGAAGCCAAGGAUGUAUUGUGGCCCAGUUGGUAGAGUGGAGCUCAAAUGGAAAACCCAACUUUCUCAAAGCUGAAAGCAACUGUGUUAUGCAGACAAUACAAAAAUUUGUGAGUGAUUUUCACUUUAGUUUGUUUCAGACUUCGGUGUUAUGAACAAUAUAAGGUUUGAUGAUUUAAAAAAAUGUAUUGAAACAGUUUUUAUAAGAAGUAUCCAGGUCCACUUGAAAUACCUCCAUGGAGCUGGGGAAAUAACUCCCGGGUCCAUUGCUCGCCUAAGAUGGAAGAGGCCCUAUGUUCAAUCCUUGACACCAAAGUUUGAAUACGGCACUGAGACAUUAUGAACUUUACAAGUGUGGGAACCUACUAAAAGUUAUACUCAACCCUGGAUGCCAUCCAAAGCACAACUGAAGACUAAGGUAUUUCUUAAUCUACAAACGAAAUGCUCCCUCCCCAGCGCCUCUGCGCUUAUCAUCCCAUCGAUGAAAUUAUGGGAUGACUUUUGCCCAAAUUAUUCAAGCUUCUGACCUUAGAAUCCGACAUUUUUACAAUGCUCUGUUAUGACUGUAUAGAUUCUGUAGUUCACUAGACCAGAUAACAGUGUGCCCUGUAAUGAGGCUCUGCCUUAUCUUGAAAAAUGCAAACACAACAAAUAGGCAUGGAGUUAGAACAUGGACAUUUUAUCUUUUGUUUUUAUUGAGGUCUCCAUGUAUAGACCACCCUGUUCUCUACUCCCGUGCUCAAGAGAUCCUCCUGCUUCAGACACUAAACAGCUGGCGCUCUAGGAGGCUGGAAGCUGACGGCCGCCAUCAGCAUGUGAGGGACCUGCUGGCGCUGGCUUUCCUCCCAAGCUGCUUGCCUAAACUUUGUCCCUUUCUCCUUAUCCGGCUGCAUCUCUCUCACAACAGAAGGGGACUUGGAGUGCACUCUUUAUUGCCCUCAGGAAUGUCAGCUCUUUACUCUCUGACCUCAUCAUACUUUGGACCUCUCUCAGGUUGUUUAUGUACAUCUGAUUCCCAGCCCUUGCACCGGAUGGAAAAUUUAAAUUCAGUAAUAAACUUCCCACAUCUCC